UGGGCAACCUGCCCUCAGCACUGGGAUAACCCCCGGGGAAACCGGGGCUAAUACCAGAUACGACCACGGCGGACAUCCGCUGUGGUGGAAAGUGUUAGUGGCUGAGGAUGGGCCCGCGGCCUAUCAGCUUGUUGGUGGGGUAACGGCCUACCAAGGCGACGACGGGUAGCCGGCCUGAGAGGGCGACCGGCCACACUGGGACUGAGACACGGCCCAGACUCCUACGGGAGGCA
This 233-nucleotide ribosomal RNA is filed under the name uncultured bacterium. RNAcentral describes it as "partial 16S ribosomal RNA". It matches the Rfam family "Bacterial small subunit ribosomal RNA", at positions 118 to 350 of the family's 1533-position model. The record is from RNAcentral.